CCCCUUCCUCUGCUCCCUGCUUCCUUCUGCCUCUCUGGGGGGAAAGCAGAUCUUUAGAACUAAUACAAACCCACAGAUUUUCAGAUUUUGGAUGUUUGGUUUGGGUUUUUUUAAGGUGGAUGUAUUUUUUAGUCUCAAAGUUUGCACUAAAGAGAAGGCGGCUGGAAAUGUGUCCUGAGCUGAAUGUUUUAAGGAGGACUCAAGCCCAUCACCAAACACAGACCCCUGUGAUUCCCCCUUAUGUGUGUUCAUGGACAAUUCCAUUAAUCCAUCCACCAGUUAAACAAGUUUGGGCUCUGUGUUGGCACAACAGCACCCCUCCAAGAGGGCUACCAGAUUUGUUCUCCUCUGCCAGCCCACUGGGGUGGAAAAUACACGUUCAACAAAAUAGGCUCCCAGUCCUGGCUGGGUCGUAGGGCUGCUUUCCCCAGAACACCACGCUCAUGUUGAAGAUUGAAUGAGGACUCUGAGGGGUCUGGACAGGGCACCAGCAGCCCCACAGGAUUUGGGAGGUGUCCACUCACAGCAAGGCUGUCCUGGAUGGUGCUGCUGACCGGCUUCAUCUUACCAAGGGGUCACACAUCCAGCCCAGCAGGACAUUCCUGUUUGCCUGGCACACCAUGGCAUGUGUGGCUGUGCUUGUGCCAGUGUGGCCUGAGCAGGCAGAGGAGGAUGCUCAUGGGGACAACACGUGAAGGUGUGUCCUGCCUGGCACUAGGGGACACCAGGACUGCAGCUGGGGUUUCCCUCCAGCUCUGUGGAAAUAUGUUUAAGGCUGGCCCAUGCAAAGUGCCUGCUAGGGCUGGUCCCUGGCCCUUGGCAGCCCUGGGCAUGCCACCAACCUGCCUGGCAUCUGCUGCCAUCCUUCUCCCUGGCAAAGCCUCUGAUGGAGCAAUUUCAUCCUCCAUGUCCCACCCAGCCUGGUCCAGCACCAUCCUUGUCCCAUUCUUUGUGUGCCUUUAUCUCGUGUAGGGUUUUACCUUUUUUGCCCCGUUUCCCUGCAUCUGCCAGUGUGAGUUCAACAUCUCCCUGUUCCGUGUUGUUGGUGUGAAUGAACAGAAUCAAGAAACUUGACUAAAAUGAACAUUUUGGAUGUUGUUUUUAUCUGCCUGCUGGGUUUUGGAGAGAGAGAGAGGGGGUUUUACACUUGGCUCAGCCAAAUGAGCUCCUAGCCAUGAGCUGGCAGUCAUGUGAGCUGGCAAAAGGUAGCAGAGAGAGGACUUGUGACACAGCAAUUUGUGAGGCUGGUGUCCCUUUGAUGGAGGGGAGGGUGGCUGACUGUGGGGCACUGUGUUCUGCCCCCCAUGGCGGCUGGUCUCAUCCAGUCCACCAGCAGACCCUCUGCUCCCUUCUUGUGGAGCACAAAAAACAUGACUAUCUUACAUGCACUUUUUUGUGCCCGUCAGUUAUGUAAGCUCAAUGUGCCUGUCUCCAUUUUUUCUGGGCUUUUCAAGGCGCCUGAGAAUGUGUGUGCAAAGACCUGAACUUUUAGAGAAAAGGGCUUGUUAGUGCUACCACAGAGGGAGAGAGCAGAACAUGCCCUCAAACCCUUAAUUAGCCAGCAGAGACUGCAUGGGGCUGAGGUUUGUGGCACCAAAGAGUUGGACAUUGCUUUGUAGGGCAGUUGCUCCCAGACCAACACACUCCUAAGACAUAAGGAACAUGGUGGUUUGUGUAUAUCCAGGCAUUUUAUUGAGAAACCAGAUGUAGGAACUGAGGAACUGUGUGCUGAGGUCCUGUCCUUGCUUCUUAUACAUGGAAAAAAUAAAUGAAACAUGCAGUGUUGUGGUA
Zonotrichia leucophrys gambelii is the source of this 1791-nucleotide long non-coding RNA. RefSeq lists it as uncharacterized. NCBI's taxonomy places the organism in Eukaryota, Metazoa, Chordata, Aves, Passeriformes, Passerellidae. The transcript has 4 exons. The record is from RefSeq and is a predicted model, not a curated record.